RNAcentral lists this ribosomal RNA (253 nucleotides) under uncultured bacterium. RNAcentral describes it as "partial 16S ribosomal RNA". It matches the Rfam family "Bacterial small subunit ribosomal RNA", at positions 524 to 776 of the family's 1533-position model. The record is from RNAcentral.
UACGGGGGGAGCAAGCGUUGUUCGGAUUUACUGGGCGUAAAGGGUGCGUAGGUGGCGCGAUAAGUCGGGUGUGAAAUCUCGGAGCUUAACUCCGAAAUUGCAUUCGAUACUGCCGUGCUCGAGGACUGGAGAGGAGACUGGAAUUCAUGGUGUAGCAGUGAAAUGCGUAGAGAUCAUGAGGAAGACCAGUGGCGAAGGCGGGUCUCUGGACAGUUCCUGACACUGAGGCACGAAGGCCAGGGGAGCAAACGGG